UUCACCAUCUUUGACGUUUCCAUUUUCCACUCUUCUGUCAAAUGUGUGAACCAUUGUAGAUUACUCGCUGUUUUUGUUAGUAUUUGCCUAGAAAAUACAAUUUUUUCGAAACAGUUUUGUUCAAAGUGAGUACACAAGCUUAAUCAAUGAUGUCGGACGGGCCAGACACGCCGCCCUUUAGUACUGUCGACAUCAACAGCGAAAAUAGAGAUGAUGAAGAUCUUUUUGCAUCCGCGGUCCAGGAAGUAAGCUUGGACCCUGAGGUGAAUGGAGCAGCAGAAGGUCUGGAGAAGGCUACCAUAGGAGACCCUCCGUCCAUUACCACUACGCUUAGCAGUCCCAUCAUGGAGGAGAUAGCAACGGAGCGAGCCAACAAUAUAAUAAUAACGAUCACGGAUCCGCAAAAGAUCGGUGAAGGCAUGAGUUCGUACGUCGCCUACCGCGUGAUCACGAAGACCAACAUGCCGAUCUUCAGCAAACAGGAGCUGCUCGUGUGGAGGAGGUUCAGUGACUUCCUUGGGUUACAUGAGAAACUCACAGAGAAGUAUCUUAGGUCGGGACGGGUAAUACCACCGGCUCCGGAGAAAAGUAUAGUUGGUACAACAAAAUUGAAGAUGACGUCAACUCCUUCCACUGAAAGCGCCAAUGGCAGUAGUUCUUCGACAAGCGUCCAAUCCCAGUUCGUGGAGAGACGGCGGGCCUGUCUCGAGCGGUUUCUGAACAGAGUGGCCCAACAUCCCGUGCUGUGCAUUGAUCCUGACUUUAGGGAGUUCUUAGAGUCAGAUACGGAACUGCCAAAGGCCACGAGCACAUCGGCGCUAAGCGGGGCGGGGGUACUCCGCUUGUUCAAUAAAGUUGGAGAAACUGUCAACAAGAUCACAUACAGGAUGGACGAGUCUGAUCCUUGGUUCGAAGAGCGUUCGGGCCGCGUGGAGGCCCUGGAAGCGUGCCUGAGGCGGCUGUUCGGCGCGUGCGAGGCGCUGGCGCAGGAGCGGCGCGAGCUGGCGGCGCGCGCGCACGACGCGGCGCGCGCGCUGGCCGCGCUGGCCGCCGCCGACCCGCACGCGCCGCUCUCGCGCGCCCUCUCGCACACCGCUGAUCUGCAUGAGAAGAUAGAACAGUUGAGACUAGAGCAAUCCAACACGGACUUCUACGUCCUGACGGAACACAUCAAAGACUACCUCGGCCUCAUCGGCGCCAUCAAGGACGUGUUCCACGAAAGAGUCAAGGUAUUCCAAAACUGGCAACACGCUCAAAUGCAGCUCACGAAGCGGAGGGAGAACAAAGCGAAGGCGGAACUCGCCAACCGGCCGGAGAAGAUUGAACAGGCGGCCAACGAGAUUAUUGAGUGGGAAGCGAAAGUGGAGCGCGGUCAGCAGGAAUUCGAUCAGAUCUCGCGCGUCAUCAAGAAGGAAUUGGAGCGCUGGGAGGAGGCCAGACUCACAGAGUUGAGACUCACCCUGCUGAGAUAUCUGGAGCUACAUAUGCAGCAUCAGGCUCAGGCGAUCCGUUACUGGGACGCGUUCCUCCCCGAAGCGCGCGCCAUCAAAUGAGCCGGGGAGUGAGGGCCGGAGCCCCGACACACACACAGCUAAGCUAAUACUGUACACUUUCAAACUUUUCUUUUAAAAAAGGC
RNA transcript from Amyelois transitella, 1636 nucleotides. It is a transcript of the gene named sorting nexin-2, with no coding region annotated. The transcript is spliced from 11 exons. The record is from RefSeq and is a predicted model, not a curated record. Lineage: Eukaryota; Metazoa; Arthropoda; Insecta; Lepidoptera; Pyralidae.